GACGGGGGGGGCAAGUGUUCUUCGGAAUGACUGGGCGUAAAGGGCGCGUAGGUGGUUUGAUAAGGGUGUGGUGAAAGUCCGGGGCUCAACCCCGGAUCUGCCGUGCCGACUGUCAAACUCGAGGACUGUAGAGGCAGACGGAAUUCCGGGUGUAGCGGUGGAAUGCGUAGAGAUCCGGAGGAAGACCGGUGGCGAAGGCGGUCUGCUGGGCAGUUUCUGACACUGAGGCGCGACAGCGUGGGGAGCAAACAGG
This 253-nucleotide ribosomal RNA is filed under the name uncultured bacterium. Its description in RNAcentral is "partial 16S ribosomal RNA". It matches the Rfam family "Bacterial small subunit ribosomal RNA", at positions 524 to 776 of the family's 1533-position model. The record is from RNAcentral.